RNAcentral lists this ribosomal RNA (460 nucleotides) under uncultured bacterium. Its description in RNAcentral is "partial 16S ribosomal RNA". It matches the Rfam family "Bacterial small subunit ribosomal RNA", at positions 338 to 795 of the family's 1533-position model. The record is from RNAcentral.
CCUACGGGAGGCAGCAGUGAGGAAUAUUGGUCAAUGGACGAGAGUCUGAACCAGCCAAGUAGCGUGAAGGAUGACUGCCCUACGGGUUGUAAACUUCUUUUAUAAGGGAAUAAAGUGAGCCACGUGUGCGUUUUUGUAUGUACUUUAUGAAUAAGGAUCGACUAACUCCGUGCCAGCAGCCGCGGUAAUACGGAGGAUCCGAGCGUUAUCCGGAUUUAUUGGGUUUAAAGGGAGCGUAGAUGGAUUGUUAAGUCAGUUGUGAAAGUUUGCGGCUCAACCGUAAAAUUGCAAUUGAUACUGGCAGUCUUGAGUACAGUAGAGGUAGGCGGAAUUCGUGGUGUAGCGGUGAAAUGCUUAGAUAUCACGAAGAACUCCGAUUGCGAAGGCAGCCCACUAGACUGCAACUGACACUGAUGCUCGAAAGUGUGGGUAUCAAACAGGAUUAGAUACCCGUGUAGUC